Molecule: long non-coding RNA, 1523 nt
Filed under: Papio anubis (olive baboon)
Lineage: Eukaryota; Metazoa; Chordata; Mammalia; Primates; Cercopithecidae
Description: lncRNA (ENSPANG00000038216.1)
Source: RNAcentral
AUGGCUAAGACUUUCAGACUAGUUUUGCAUUUAUUUCCCCAGAUUUUGAUGUCCCAUUGGCUGUCUGGUUCAGAAUUCAUAAUGCUUUGUCGGCGUCUCAAGUUAAGUUUGGAGAAGAACAUGUCCAAAUUCUCCAUUUCGCCUCCAUUCAAUGCAACUGUUGGCAGCAUGGAACUUCUCUUCAAGGAGUUAUCUACUAUGGAGGCUGUGCCUGAACUUGGAAUGGAAAGUUAUUUUUCUCAGGUUCUUGCUUGAGGAUCUCUAGAUCUCAACAUGCAGGGUAAGCUGUGUAAAAACGGCCAAAGACAGUCCAUGUUCUGAUAUAUGUGGGAUUCUAUGGGGAGAAUGUGAACAAGAACCUGGGGACAGAAAUGAAGAUCCAGCACAGGUGUCAGCCAGCCAGUCAGCCCGACAAAUGGCAAAGAAAUUAGUAAGUUCUUAAAAUAACAUUGCCAACACAGACUUUAAGCAUAAAAAAUACUAGCUCCUGAUGGAAUCGAGGAUAGAGUUUAUGACAUUAAUAUUAUCCUACGAGGGAAUUCAAUGAAAAACCCGACCACCAUCUCCCCAUAAGGGAAGCUAGGCCUGGGAUGGGGAGGGCACAUGACCUGGGAGGAAGUCAGUGGGCCCCCAUGCAAGGGGACCACACCUGAAGGGACCAGUUGCAAAGGAGUUGGAAGAUGGCCCAGCCUCUGCCAGAGACAUGGCAGUCCAUUUCAAGCGAGCCAAUAAUUGCAGGGCCCACUACCUUUAAGACAGCUCUUUAGGAGGACUUUGAUUGUUCUCCUGGCUAUCAUGCAAAAAUGAACACUCAUCUAUCACUUGUUGAUCAUUUAGCAGGAAGAACUGUCUGCUAAGACAGUCCAAUCGCAGGUGUCCUCAAUCAGAACUUCCUUCUCUUCAAUGGCCCAAGACACCCAUAAGACUUUCUUUAAAAAUGUUGGGGCCUUGACAUUGAGAAAGGCAAUGGAGUUUGUAAUGGAAAGCUUCUGCACCUUCAAGUGAGGACUAAGGAGAAUGAGCUCUGGGUAGCCAUCUGGGUCAAGAGAGAGAUGGCACUCCAUCCUGAUGCCACAUGGGGUCUGUCAUCCUGCCUCCAGACCCCCCACCACCUCACCCUGCUGCUUAACUCAACCUCAUGGUGCUUUUAUGGGCUUCUCUCUAUGGACUGUCUGUCCAUAAUGGUUAACUUCAUCUAGGGAGAAAAAUCUAAGAAUUUCCUCUCCCUUGAAAGACUAGUACUAUAUGUUUUUAAUGAUGUUUUGGGAGUCUAUAACUUUCUUCAUAAAACUCAAUAGUAAAGUAUGUUUAUUUAUGUAAAUGUAUAUUUAUAGAUAUAUAAAAUAUAUUUAUUACUGAAUAUAUAUAUAUGGUGCCAAAUCCAGCAAAUUGUAUCUUUAAGAAAUCCCAUAGGAUAAUUGUGAAUGCAGUCUGAUUACAUUUUUUUAAAAAUAUGACUUUAAAAAAAUUACCCUAGAAAUAAUUACCUCUGCUUUUUCCCUUUUUUGGCUUAACUUUCAGGU